Molecule: transfer RNA, 72 nt
Filed under: Loxodonta africana (African savanna elephant)
Lineage: Eukaryota; Metazoa; Chordata; Mammalia; Proboscidea; Elephantidae
Rfam family: tRNA
About the family: Transfer RNA (tRNA) molecules are approximately 80 nucleotides in length.
Source: Rfam by way of RNAcentral
GAGGGUACAGCUCAGCGGUAGAGCACUUGUUUAGCAUGUGAGAGGUCCUGGGUUCGAUGCCCAGUACGUCCA